GCACUUCUGAGGAGUUCUAUACCAGGACGAAACGGCCGUCCAGUGC
Molecule: non-coding RNA, 46 nt
Organism: Schistosoma margrebowiei
Lineage: Eukaryota; Metazoa; Platyhelminthes; Trematoda; Strigeidida; Schistosomatidae
Source: Rfam